GACGAACGCUGGCGGCGUGCCUAAUACAUGCAAGUCGAGCGAAUCAAUAGGAGCUUGCUCCUGUUGAUUAGCGGCGGACGGGUGAGUAACACGUGGGCAACCUGCCUGUAAGACUGGGAUAACACCGGGAAACCGGUGCUAAUACCGGAUAAUCCAUUCCCUCUCAUGAGGGAAUGCUGAAAGACGGUUUCGGCUGUCACUUACAGAUGGGCCCGCGGCGCAUUAGCUAGUUGGUGAGGUAACGGCUCACCAAGGCGACGAUGCGUAGCCGACCUGAGAGGGUGAUCGGCCACACUGGGACUGAGACACGGCCCAGACUCCUACGGGAGGCAGCAGUAGGGAAUCUUCCG
Molecule: ribosomal RNA, 350 nt
Filed under: uncultured low G+C Gram-positive bacterium
Lineage: Bacteria; Bacillati; Bacillota
Description: bacterial SSU rRNA
Rfam family: Bacterial small subunit ribosomal RNA
Source: RNAcentral